UACGGAGGGUGCAAGCGUUAUCCGGAUUCACUGGGUUUAAAGGGUGCGUAGGCGGGUUGGUAAGUCCGUGGUGAAAUCCCCAGCUUAACUUGGGAACUGCCGUGGAUACUAUCAGUCUUGAAUAUCGUGGAGGUAAGCGGAAUAUGUCAUGUAGCGGUGAAAUGCUUAGAUAUGACAUAGAACACCAAUUGCGUAGGCAGCUUACUACACGAUCAUUGACGCUGAGGCACGAAAGCGUGGGGAGCAAACAGG
RNAcentral lists this ribosomal RNA (252 nucleotides) under uncultured bacterium. RNAcentral's name for it is "partial 16S ribosomal RNA". It matches the Rfam family "Bacterial small subunit ribosomal RNA", at positions 524 to 776 of the family's 1533-position model. The record is from RNAcentral.